UUUCCCCCCAUUCUGCUUUGUAACAAGCUCCAGGGCUAACUGCUGAACAGCAAUUUUCUAAUCAUUCCACAGAUUCGGGUGGGGAUUGAGGUCUGGACAUUGUCUCUGCACCUCCCUAAAUUUUUGUAUUUGAGCCACGUCUUGCUGUAUGCUUUGGGUUGUUGUUCUCCUAUCAGGGCUGUGGAGUCGGUAGAAAUGUGCCGACUCAGAUUACAGCUUCUAAAAGAUGAGGCUCCGGGAUGAUUCAAUGAAGGCUUGGCUACGUUGUGCCACUCUGAAACCAGCAACAUCACUAGAGGAACCACGAGAGAAUUGCAGUCACAGGUUCUUGAAAAACUGACGUUUUCCUUUGUCUGGGAGAAACCUCAGAUGUCUGAGCAUACAGUAGCAACCCCGGCUGCCCUGGGCUCUAGGGAGACAACCGUUAACCCUUCUGACCAUUUAACAUUUAAACAGUUCAUAGACUGGAUGAAGCGAAGUGGUGACAGGAGCACGGACCCUCUAGAAUACAAACAAAGAUGUUAUCUUUUGUCGAACAGUCGAUUGAAGGCAUAUCUAGCGUAAUUCAUGUACGGCGCACCUUGAGAAGCUGGUUAAGGACAGGGAUGGCAGUUCCUUUUGGGAAUUUAAAUUACUAUUUAUAUUGUUAUUACGUUGCAGAAUGAUCAGAGUCAUUUUCCUUCAUUACCUGUACAUUGUAAUACUGUACUAAAUGGGAGAGCACAAAAGAAUGUGUCAGAAUGAUCAAAGCUGUAUAACUUAUGACACUGAAGCAGACAUCAUUAAUUAGCUGUAAACGCAAAAAAAAUGUUCAGCUCCUAUAAUUUCACUUUACUAUAACUACUAAUAUAACAUAUUUGCACCUUGUAACCUUGGUAAAACCAUGCUGCACUGCAGGUGGGGGAGAUUUAUAAUGUGCAGAGAGAGUUAAGGGCCACAUACACUACUGCGACAUGUCCAUCGUAUGCUGUCCUUUUGCAUACGAUAUAUCUUGGGCGAUCCCAGCCAUGAAAAACAAAAGGAUUUUUCCCACGCACUCUGAGGGCUGUUAGUAACAAGAACUGUACACUAUAUAAUGAUAGAAAAUUUAGAGCUCUUAGUUACAUAUAUUUUGGAAAAAAUAUGAUAAGCCUCCAGGCCACUUCACGGCAGCUCUAUUGCUGGAGGUCCCUAAUAUUAAGUAUAAGUCCAGAGCGUGGACCCCACACAGUCGGAUCAGGCCCAACCAUGGGGUUAGACAUGAUCGCUAGUGCAGCACGUUAAAUCUGGAGGAUCCGAUUCGAUGCUCACGGGGCCGCUCAUCGGAUUGGAUCAGAUACACAGCCAAAAUGCCCGAUUUCACCCAAUAUAUCGGCUCAAAUUGGGCAUAAUCGUUCUAGUGUAUGGGUCCCUUUAGAUGUUGGAGGGGCAUGUCCAAACUGAAAUCUAAAGCUGCCCAACAUUUGUGGGCUACAUGCAAAAGCAGCCAGUAUUUACCCUGCGUGCAAAAAUAUCAACAUCAUCUUCCUAGGUAGACAGUCAUUGCCAUGGGGAUGUAGUAGUGAUCCCAGCGUUCAGGAUCCUGGUGGUCAGCAUACCAAUGCCGAGAGGGGGCCCAGGACUAUUCCCACUCAUGACGACACCUGUAGAGUGGGAAUACAACCUUUGGUGUGUGCAGCGAGCAACCAAGACCACAGGAGGCUUCGUUGUGCUGGCACCCCUGCUGGCAUUCAGGCAGCCGGGAUCCCAGCUUCGGUAUGCUGACCGUCGGGAUCCCGACCACUGCUCACCCGAUCCCAACCCAUUGCCAUGCCAUCAAUUAUGUGGAAUAUAUAGGUAUAGUUUCUGUCAUAUACAUAUAUAUGGUCGCUGUGACCUUUUAUACAUACCGACCAACUGUCCCAAUUUUCUCGGGACAGUCCCAUUUUCUGGGACUGCCCCGCUGUCCCACCUGCGGGCCUCUGUGUCCUGUGGUGGGGGGAAGUUGGGAGACUCCUGUCACUCGCUGCUCUGCUGUGAAUAGAUGCUGUGCUCAUGCACCAUCAACAUAUCUAUUUUAGCAGUACCCAAGCUGGUCUCAAACCUGGAUUUAAGCAACUGGCAUACCAAAGGUAUCCAGACGAUGCAGGACCUAUAUGAUCAGUCUCACCUUAAGGGGUCUAUUCAUGAAGCAGUGAAAAGGGUGGAGAAAAGAACCAGUGGAGAAGUCGCCCAUAGCAACCAAUCAGUUUUGAAGGAAGCCUUUAUCAAACACAUGCUGUAAAAUGUAAGGGAUAUGCUGAUUGGUUGCCAUGGCACUGGUCUGUUUCUCCAUUGUUUUCACUGCUUCAUGCAGAACUGGAUUAAAGCAGGGGUGACGGGGGCGGUUGUCCCUGGGCCCCCACACAUUAGGGGCCCCCACAUCCACUGUGUCCCCAUGACAGUGGAAUCGAGUUGGCAUCGUGUCGAGUUUUCUGCCGGCUGUGCACUGCACCGCAUGACAUCAAUGGUCACGCAGCACAGCAGCCUCACGCCGACCCGCUCCUUCAGCCGUGGAAGCGCAGUCGUACUGUAAUGGCAAGUCGGGACGGGACUCUGAUGGAGCUCUGCUGCUGUGGACCUGUCGGGACUCGGGAGGAGGAGGGAGCCCUGCUGCUGCUGCGGACCAGUACCGAACCGGCCAGCCCAGCCCAGUGAGACAGCGCCACUCCCUGUUGCUCUGUUAUGGUGCAGGUGUGUGUUUAUCAUGCAGGGGGUGGUGGGUGUUAAAAGCAGUUUCACUUGUGGGCCCCCCCGCAACUUCAUUGCCCCUGGGCCCCCACCAGCUUUAAUCCGCCAAUUUUUACCUCAUUUCUCAGGUUCACUCCCUCACUUUCCUCCCUCUGUACAAUCUGUAUUAUAGCCACUCGGGAAAGGCCUGACUUGCCUCCCACACUCAAAGUUUUUCCUCUGUUCAACGUAGCUAUGAGAUGGAUACUUUGGGUGUUAGAUUUUCCUCAGGACCUUCAUCUCAUGAUUACUACACUGCCCACCACUCCACUCCCAACAGGCUCUUAUCUGCUUAAUUUGGUUAACCUGGGAGCCUUCAGAUUUCCGUGCGUUGGUACUAACCCCUCUUUAAUGCAUAAAGUGCAAAGAGAUGUUCAUAUGUUUCUGAUGCCUCCUCUCGUCUCCUGCUUCUGGUGUUUAUUUACCUCUCCCUCACUAGUUCUUCUUUAUUCCAGAUAAAAGUUAUUACUUCUUUGUGUGUAAUGAUCUUGUAUAACCGG
Pseudophryne corroboree (corroboree frog) is the source of this 3227-nucleotide long non-coding RNA. RefSeq lists it as uncharacterized. The record is from RefSeq and is a predicted model, not a curated record. Lineage: Eukaryota; Metazoa; Chordata; Amphibia; Anura; Myobatrachidae. The transcript is spliced from 3 exons.